GGGGUUGUGGCUUAGUGGCAGAGCACUUACCUAACAUGCAUGAUGCCUUGAGUUCAAUUUCCAUCACCACCCCA
This 74-nucleotide transfer RNA is filed under the name Marmota monax (woodchuck). Its description in RNAcentral is "tRNA.Val". Lineage: Eukaryota; Metazoa; Chordata; Mammalia; Rodentia; Sciuridae. The record is from RNAcentral.